Molecule: ribosomal RNA, 735 nt
Filed under: Triticum aestivum (bread wheat)
Lineage: Eukaryota; Viridiplantae; Streptophyta; Magnoliopsida; Poales; Poaceae
Description: partial small subunit ribosomal RNA
Source: RNAcentral
AUGAAGUACCUUAGAACUGGACAUGCUAAUGAUGAUUCAAAAGUGGAGUUUUUGCAACAAAUAAUGAUUUUAAGGAGUGUUAAUCAUGAAAAUGUCAUUCGCUUUUAUGGGGCAUGCACAAAGCAUCGAUGGUAUCUCAUUGUAACAGAGUACAUGGCUGGAGGUAAUCUGUAUGACUUCCUUCACAAGCAAAAAAAUACCUUGGAGCUUUCGUUGAUUCUUAGGAUUGCUAUUGGCAUCUCGAAAGGGAUGGAUUAUUUGCACCAGAAUAACAUCAUCCAUAGAGAUUUGAAGUCUGCCAAUUUAUUACUUGGUGAUGCUCAAGUCGUGAAGAUUGCAGAUUUUGGUGUCUCGCAAGAGGGAGAUAUGACUUCCGAAAAUGGCACCUAUAGAUGGAUAGCACCUGAGGUGAUAAACCAUAAGUCUUAUGACCACAAGGCAGAUGUCUUCAGCUUUGCUAUUGUUCUAUGGGAGUUGGUCACUUCAAAGGUCCCAUACGAAAACCUGACACCAUUGCAAGCGGCACUGUCAGUAAGGCAGGGAAUUCGCUUGGUGAUUCCCUCGAGCGUGCAUCCGAGAUUGUCUAAGUUGAUUCAACGGUGUUGGGGUGAGAACCCCCAUACACGACCCGUUUUCUAUGAGAUCACCGCAGAACUGCAAGAUAUCUUGCAGACUUUUCAGCCGCCUCCAGGUCCAAAGGAAGCCAUCGUUGUACGAAACAAAAGAUACAGAUGA